Molecule: transfer RNA, 73 nt
Filed under: Candidatus Woesebacteria bacterium CG_4_10_14_0_2_um_filter_39_14
Lineage: Bacteria; Candidatus Woeseibacteriota
Also listed under: 3 other names
Description: tRNA-Met
Rfam family: tRNA
About the family: Transfer RNA (tRNA) molecules are approximately 80 nucleotides in length. Their secondary structure includes four short double-helical elements and three loops (D, anti-codon, and T loops).
Source: RNAcentral
GCCAGGGUAGCUUAGUUGGUAGAGCACCGGAUUCAUAUCCCGGCGGUCGUGGGUUCGAAUCCCACCUCUGGCA